GAACGGGUGAGUAAUACAUCGGAACGUGCCCAGUAAUGGGGGAUAGCUCGGCGAAAGCCGGAUUAAUACCGCAUACGCCCUGAGGGGGAAAGUGGGGGAUCGCAAGACCUCACGUUAUUGGAGCGGCCGAUGGCUGAUUAGCUAGUUGGUAGGGUAAAGGCCUACCAAGGCGACGAUCAGUAGCUGGUCUGAGAGGACGAUCAGCCACACUGGGACUGAGACACGGCCCAGACUCCUACGGGAGGCAGCAGUGGGGAAUUUUGGACAAUGGGGGAAACCCUGAUCCGGCAAUGCCGCGUGUGCGAAGAAGGCCUUCGGGUUGUAAAGCACUUUUGUCAGGGAAGAAAUCCUUUGGGCUAAUACCCUAGGGGGAUGACGGUACCUGAAGAAUAAGCACCGGCUAACUACGUGCCAGCAGCCGCGGUAAUACGUAGGGUGCAAGCGUUAAUCGGAAUUACUGGGCGUAAAGCGUGCGCAGGCGGUUGUGUAAGACAGGUGUGAAAUCCCCGGGCUUAACCUGGGAAUUGCAUUUGUGACUGCACGACUAGAGUGUGUCAGAGGGGGGUGGAAUUCCACGUGUAGCAGUGAAAUGCGUAGAUAUGUGGAGGAACACCAAUGGCGAAGGCAGCCCCCUGGGAUAACACUGACGCUCAUGCA
This 657-nucleotide ribosomal RNA is filed under the name uncultured bacterium. RNAcentral's name for it is "bacterial SSU rRNA". It matches the Rfam family "Bacterial small subunit ribosomal RNA", at positions 100 to 753 of the family's 1533-position model. The record is from RNAcentral.